Molecule: non-coding RNA, 96 nt
Organism: Selenihalanaerobacter shriftii
Lineage: Bacteria; Bacillati; Bacillota; Clostridia; Halanaerobiales; Halobacteroidaceae
Source: Rfam
AGAAAUGCAGAUGAUGACGUAGUUAACGUUGCGGAAGUCAAUACGAAGGAAUCGUAAAAGGUGAGAUUCCGGAGGGUCUGUCGGGGUCAGAGAACC